GGCAAGAUGGCCGAGCGGUCUAAGGCGCUGUGUUCAGGCAUUUAGAGCUUCAUUGAUCUAAUUCUUGAAUUCGCAGUCCGAAAGGGCGUGGGUUCGAAUCCCACUCUUGUCA
RNAcentral lists this transfer RNA (112 nucleotides) under Phaeoacremonium minimum UCRPA7. It matches the Rfam family "tRNA". From Rfam's summary of the family: Transfer RNA (tRNA) molecules are approximately 80 nucleotides in length. Their secondary structure includes four short double-helical elements and three loops (D, anti-codon, and T loops). Lineage: Eukaryota; Fungi; Ascomycota; Sordariomycetes; Togniniales; Togniniaceae. The record is from Rfam by way of RNAcentral.